Saimiri boliviensis boliviensis (Bolivian squirrel monkey) is the source of this 802-nucleotide non-coding RNA. The record is from RefSeq and is a predicted model, not a curated record. Lineage: Eukaryota; Metazoa; Chordata; Mammalia; Primates; Cebidae.
CUUGGGUGUGUGGGAACGUCUGGUUUCCCCGCUCGACGCCGAGGGCCCUCAAAGGCCCUAGCGACGAAGUCGGAGAGAGAUGGAAGUCGCUUUGGGUUCAGGUUCAGCGUUUGGUCCCGGUGUUCGAUGGAGUCGGGAAGAGACUCAGGAUCAGGGAAGAAGAGAACAAUACACCUUUCCAUGAGCAUGGAAAAGAACUACUUCAUAAACAGCUUUGCACAGGCUGGCUCUACUGACCACACUAUUACCACGGUUUCAAAAAACUCCAAGUAGAUGUGCUCACUGUCACUUGGACAAGAACAAACCAUUAUAAGUUAAAGAAAACAAAAGGUAAAAGCAGUCAGUGUAUAAACAAGAACAGCCAAAUGGAAGAGCUGCACAGGGCACAGUAUGCUGGAGUAUGGGGAUAAACUUCAUGCUCUCUCUGCAUGCACCAACCUCCCAGAAGCUUGAUGUGUUUACCAACCCUGCUCUCCAGACCCCUCUGUUUAGAGGUUUUAUGUUACACAGGCAUGGGUGAAUAAAUCAUUGGCCACUGGUGACUGAACUCCAUCUCCAACGUCUUUCUGCUUCCUGGAGAUUAGGGGUAGGACUGUAAGUUCCAAGCUUCUAAUCAAGGCUUGGUCUUUCUUGCAACCAGCCUCCACCCUGAAGCUACCUAGGACUCUACCAAGAGUAGUCUCACUAGAAAAAAGAGGACUAGGCAUGAUGGCUCACAGCUGUAGUCUUAGAACUUCAGGAGACGAAGGUGGACUAACUGCUUCAGCUGAGGAGUUCAAGACAAGCCUGUGGAACAUGGUGA